This 337-nucleotide ribosomal RNA is filed under the name uncultured Polymyxa. RNAcentral's name for it is "SSU rRNA". The stretch from base 124 to 337 matches the Rfam family "Eukaryotic small subunit ribosomal RNA", at positions 744 to 955 of the family's 1831-position model. The record is from RNAcentral. Lineage: Eukaryota; Endomyxa; Phytomyxea; Plasmodiophorida; Plasmodiophoridae.
GACUUGUGUGCGCCGGAUGCGGCGAUCUGCGGCCAAAAGGUCGUUGCGAUCAGCCCGUCCUGGCGCCGUAAAAUUUGCAACUGAGUCGCCUCUGGUCUUAAUUGGUCGGUGGCGUCUGCUCGGUUGCUCGUUUACUGUGAGAAAAUUGGAGUGUUCAAGGCAGGCGUGGAUUGCAACUGAACAUGUUAGCAUGGAAUAAUAAGAUAGGGCUUUGGUACUAUUUUGUUGGUUUCUAGGACCAAAGUAAUGAUUGAUAGGGACAGUUGGGGGUGCUAGUAUUCAAUGGCCAGAGGUGAAAUUCUCGGAUUCAUUGAAGACUAACAAAUGCGAAAGCAUU